UGGGGAAUAUUGCACAAUGGGCGCAAGCCUGAUGCAGCCAUGCCGCGUGUAUGAAGAAGGCCUUCGGGUUGUAAAGUACUUUCAGCGAGGAGGAAGGCGGUAAGGUUAAUAACCUUAUCGAUUGACGUUACUCGCAGAAGAAGCACCGGCUAACUCCGUGCCAGCAGCCGCGGUAAUACGGAGGGUGCAAGCGUUAAUCGGAAUUACUGGGCGUAAAGCGCACGCAGGCGGUCUGUCAAGUCGGAUGUGAAAUCCCCGGGCUCAACCUGGGAACUGCAUUCGAAACUGGCAGGCUAGAGUCUUGUAGAGGGGGGUAGAAUUCCAGGUGUAGCGGUGAAAUGCGUAGAGAUCUGGAGGGAUACCGGUGGCGAAGGCGGCCCCCUGGACAAAGACUGACGCUCAGGUGCGAAAGCGUGGGGAGCAAACA
Molecule: ribosomal RNA, 427 nt
Filed under: uncultured bacterium
Lineage: Bacteria
Description: partial 16S ribosomal RNA
Rfam family: Bacterial small subunit ribosomal RNA
Source: RNAcentral